UACAGAGGUCUCAAGCGUUGUUCGGAUUCACUGGGCGUAAAGGGUGCGUAGGUGGUGAGGUAAGUCGGAUGUGAAAGCUCGGAGCUCAACUCCGAAAUGGCAUUGGAAACUACCUUGCUAGAGGGUUGGAGGGGGGACUGGAAUGCUUGGUGUAGCAGUGAAAUGCGUAGAUAUCAAGCGGAACACCAGUGGCGAAGGCGAGUCCCUGGACAACUCCUGACACUGAGGCACGAAAGCUAGGGGAGCAAACAGG
This 253-nucleotide ribosomal RNA is filed under the name uncultured bacterium. RNAcentral describes it as "partial 16S ribosomal RNA". It matches the Rfam family "Bacterial small subunit ribosomal RNA", at positions 524 to 776 of the family's 1533-position model. The record is from RNAcentral.